RNAcentral lists this ribosomal RNA (468 nucleotides) under uncultured bacterium. RNAcentral's name for it is "partial 16S ribosomal RNA". It matches the Rfam family "Bacterial small subunit ribosomal RNA", at positions 28 to 507 of the family's 1533-position model. The record is from RNAcentral.
GACGAACGCUGGCGGCGUGCUUAACACAUGCAAGUCGAACGGAAAGGCCCUGCUUUUGUGGGGUGCUCGAGUGGCGAACGGGUGAGUAACACGUGAGUAACCUGCCCCUGACUUUGGGAUAACUUCAGGAAACUGGGGCUCAUACCGGAUAGGAGCUCCUGCUGCAUGGUGGUGGUUGGAAAGUUUCGGCGGUUGGGGAUGGACUCGCGGCUUAUCAGCUGGUUGGUGGGGUAGUGGCUUACCAAGGCUUUGACGGGUAGCCGGCCUGAGAGGGUGACCGGGCACAUUGGGACUGAGAUACGGCCCAGACUCCUACGGGAGGCAGCAGUGGGGAAUAUUGCACAAUGGGCGGAAGCCUGAUGCAGCAACGCCGCGUGCGGGAUGACGGCCUUCGGGUGGUAAACCGCUUUCGCCUGUGACGAAGCGUGAGUGACGGUAAUGGGUAAAGAAGCACCGGCUAACUACGUG